ACUUCCUUUCUCUGCUCGCGCUCGUCGCGUGGAGAUAACAGGCGGGGCCGCACCAUGCAGAACGACGCCAGCGAGUUCGUGGACUUGUACGUGCCGCGGAAGUGCUCGGCCAGCAACCGCAUCAUUGGCGCCAAGGACCACGCAUCCAUCCAGAUGAACGUGGCCGAGGUCGACAAGGUCACAGGCAGGUUCAAUGGCCAGUUUAAGACCUACGCUAUCUGCGGGGCUAUUCGAAGGAUGGGUGAAUCAGAUGACUCCAUCCUAAGAUUGGCCAAGGCGGACGGCAUGGUCUCCAAGAACUUUUGAGUGGAGAGAGUUGUGGAUGUGGAACGUGUGCUGCAAAUAAAUGGUCAGAAUG
This is an RNA transcript of Octodon degus (degu), 358 nucleotides long. It is a transcript of the gene named 40S ribosomal protein S21 pseudogene, with no coding region annotated. The transcript has a single exon. NCBI's taxonomy places the organism in Eukaryota, Metazoa, Chordata, Mammalia, Rodentia, Octodontidae. The record is from RefSeq and is a predicted model, not a curated record.